RNAcentral lists this unclassified non-coding RNA (26 nucleotides) under Mus musculus (house mouse). RNAcentral's name for it is "oocyte_clustered_small_RNA6325". Lineage: Eukaryota; Metazoa; Chordata; Mammalia; Rodentia; Muridae. The record is from RNAcentral.
UGAUGGGGAAGAAACGUGGGGGACAG